GAUGAAGAACGUAGCGAAAUGCGAUACGUAAUGUGAAUUGCAAAUUCAGUGAAUCAUCGAAUCUUUGAACGCACAUUGCGCCCCUUGGUAUUCCAUGGGGCAUGCCUGUUCGAGCGUCAUUUGUACCUUCAAGCUCUGCUUGGUGUUGGGUGUUUGUCUCGCCUCUGCGUGUAGACUCGCCUCAAAACAAUUGGCAGCCGGCGUAUUGAUUUCGGAGCGCAGUACAUCUCGCGCUUUGCACUCAUAACGACGACGUCCAAAAGUACAUUUUUACACUCUUGACCUCGGAUCAGGUAGGGAUACCCGCUGAACUUAAGCAUAUCAAUAAGCGGAGGA
This 336-nucleotide unclassified non-coding RNA is filed under the name soil metagenome. Its description in RNAcentral is "partial contains 5.8S ribosomal RNA, internal transcribed spacer 2, and large subunit ribosomal RNA". The stretch from base 1 to 119 matches the Rfam family "5.8S ribosomal RNA", at positions 35 to 154 of the family's 154-position model. The record is from RNAcentral.